This 484-nucleotide ribosomal RNA is filed under the name uncultured bacterium. RNAcentral's name for it is "partial 16S ribosomal RNA". It matches the Rfam family "Bacterial small subunit ribosomal RNA", at positions 30 to 507 of the family's 1533-position model. The record is from RNAcentral.
AUUGAACGCUGGCGGCAGGCCUAACACAUGCAAGUCGAGCGGAUGAAGGGAGCUUGCUCCUGGAUUCAGCGGCGGACGGGUGAGUAUUGCCUAGGAAUCUGCCUGGUAGUGGGGGAUAACGUCCGGAAACGGGCGCUAAUACCGCAUACGUCCUGAGGGAGAAAGUGGGGGAUCUUCGGACCUCACGCUAUCAGAUGAGCCUAGGUCGGAUUAGCUAGUUGGUGGGGUAAAGGCCUACCAAGGCGACGAUCCGUAACUGGUCUGAGAGGAUGAUCAGUCACACUGGAACUGAGACACGGUCCAGACUCCUACGGGAGGCAGCAGUGGGGAAUAUUGGACAAUGGGCGAAAGCCUGAUCCAGCCAUGCCGCGUGUGUGAAGAAGGUCUUCGGAUUGCAAAGCACUUUAAGUUGGGAGGAAGGGCAGUAAGUUAAUACCUUGCUGUUUUGACGUUACCAACAGAAUAAGCACCGGCUAACUUCGUG